AAUAUUGCGCAAUGGGGGGAACCCUGACGCAGCAACGCCGCGUGAGUGAAGAAGGCCUUCGGGUCGUAAAGCUCUGUCAUUAGGGAAGAAGUCUAUUAUACAAACAGUGUAAUAGGUGACGGUACCUAAGGAGGAAGCCACGGCUAACUACGUGCCAGCAGCCGCGGUAACACGUAGGUGGCAAGCGUUGUCCGGAAUUACUGGGCGUAAAGGGCGUGUAGGUGGUCUAACAAGUCAGGUGUGAAACACCGGGGCUCAACUCCGGUCAUGCAUUUGAAACUGUAGGACUUGAGGGCAAGAGAGGAAAGUGGAAUUCCUAGUGUAGCGGUGAAAUGCGUAGAUAUUAGGAGGAACACCAGUGGCGAAGGCGACUUUCUGGAUUGACCCUGACACUGAGGCGCGAAAGCGUGGGUAGCAAACA
This 421-nucleotide ribosomal RNA is filed under the name uncultured bacterium. RNAcentral's name for it is "partial 16S ribosomal RNA". It matches the Rfam family "Bacterial small subunit ribosomal RNA", at positions 360 to 774 of the family's 1533-position model. The record is from RNAcentral.